UACGUAGGGCGCAAGCGUUGUCCGGAAUUAUUGGGCGUAAAGAGCUCGUAGGCGGCCUGUUGCGUCCGCUGUGAAAUCCCGGGGCUCAACCCCGGACUUGCAGUGGGUACGGGCAGACUAGAGUGUGGUAGGGGAGACUGGAAUUCCUGGUGUAGCGGUGAAAUGCGCAGAUAUCAGGAGGAACACCGAUGGCGAAGGCAGGUCUCUGGGCCACUACUGACGCUGAGAAGCGAAAGCAUGGGGAGCGAACAGG
This 253-nucleotide ribosomal RNA is filed under the name uncultured bacterium. RNAcentral describes it as "partial 16S ribosomal RNA". It matches the Rfam family "Bacterial small subunit ribosomal RNA", at positions 524 to 776 of the family's 1533-position model. The record is from RNAcentral.